RNAcentral lists this unclassified non-coding RNA (197 nucleotides) under uncultured fungus. Its description in RNAcentral is "partial contains 18S rRNA, ITS1, 5.8S rRNA, ITS2 and 28S rRNA". The record is from RNAcentral. Lineage: Eukaryota; Fungi.
AAGGAUCAUUACCGAGAUCAUGCCCUCACGGGUAGACCUCCACCCUAUGUUUACUACACCUCGUUGCUUUGGCGGGCCGCUUCGGCUACCGGCUUCGGCUGGUACGCGCCCGCCAGGGAACCAACAACCCUGAAUUUUCGUGUCGUCUGAGAAAAAACAUAAUAUUAAAACUUUCAACAACGGAUCUCUUGGCUCUG